Nicotiana tabacum (common tobacco) is the source of this 2091-nucleotide non-coding RNA. The record is from RefSeq and is a predicted model, not a curated record. Lineage: Eukaryota; Viridiplantae; Streptophyta; Magnoliopsida; Solanales; Solanaceae.
UGCUCCUACUUCAAGACUUGGCUGUGUAGAUUUGUCGAACGUCGACGAUUAGGUUUGAAGUAUUGGUAAUGAUGGUCAACUUGGGCCUUGAGAUGACUUAGAAUUUCCAAAAGAACUUACUUGAAAUAAAAUCCUUAUGCUUUGGGGCUUUAAUAUGAGCCCAGAUUGAGUAGGAGCGAGGCAAAGCCGAAUUGUUGGUAGCCUGCGGUAAUUCCAGACCUCGUUACUCCCUUAAUCAUGAAACAAAACACAUCCUUAUCAGAACAAGGAUAGACUUUAAUUUUUUUAUUACGCAAAAUGUUUUUCAUUGAAAUCCUCAAUUUGAUUCGGAUGGAGUUAUCCCUAUCAUGCGAUUCCCGCCUCUUUUGAGUUUACCUGCUGCUUUCCUACACUUAUAAAAGAGUAGAUCACGAUGCAUAAGUAUAUAUCCAAACUUGUUAAGAUACACAUUGAGCCCUCUUUGCAUGGUAGCAUUUGACAGGCCUAUGGAAUCUUUAAUAGCAGUGUCGGAGGCGUAACAUCAUUCGUCGCAGCAACACCUUGCUUCAUUCUGGCGAGCAUAAAUUUCUUUUCCAAGCACUAGCACCAGCUGCCAUUUUUUAGGUGAUUUUCAAAACUUGACUUCGAAUUCAGUUGCUGAUCCUUCAGCUUUGCGCGUCUUCACGAGAAAAAAUAUAUCUUUUGGUAGAUUUAUUGAAAUUGCAAUCCACCUAUGGUGUCGUGAAGUAGACUCCCGAGACUACAAUCUACACCAGAAUCAGGUUCAAAUUCCUAGUGAAUUUACGCGGACACGUCCAAACCACAAUCCGCUUACACCGUUGGAAAGAGGACUUCUGCGACUACAAUAUAUACAAAAAUCAGAUCCAGAUUCUAAGUAUAUUUGUACAGAUACUUGUUUGAACUCGGUAUUUGAUUUCUGGCAUUCUGCUUUUUACAGCUUUGUGCGCCCCGACUAAAAAAAUCAUAUUUCUUUGCAGACACGUCGAAACCUCAUUCCUCUUGCGCCUUUGGAAAGAGGACUUCUAGAGCAAUAAUAUAAAAAUGGAAAAGGGCCUAAAGUGCCCCUGAAGUAUCGAAUUUGGUACAAUAAUGUCCUCCUUACACCUUUUCGAAUAAAAAUGCACUUACCGUUUAACUUUUGACUCAGCCAUGCCCCUAUUUCUAACAGCCUUUUAUUUUUUUUUAAACUUUUUUUUAAUCCACGUGUAAUAUUUUUAUUGGCUGAACUUAAAGGCUAGCCCUAAUACACUAACCCACCCGUAACCCGCCCUAUUACCGACCCGCUUUCCUUUAAUUCGUUUUAACCCAAAAACCCAAUUUUUUAAAGACACAACAACUUCUUCUUCUUCCUCUUUUCAUUAAGGUUCUUCAAAUUCUCCAUCUCCCAACCUCCCAACUUUGUAUCUUCUUUUGAAAUUUACAUUAAUAACUAUUCUUCCUUUAGUUUCAAAUGUCUUACUCUUCUUCUGCUUCUUCUCUUGGCCAAGGUGAUUCCCGUACAUGUUAUUGCAGAUUAAUUACCAAUCAUUUUACUACUACGACACCUAUGAAUGGCGGUCGUAGAUUAUGUUGUUGUUCUGAGAAGAAUGGUUGUCGUUAUUGGGAAUGGCGCGAUGAACAAUUUCUACCUCAUGUGUCAAUGUUUAUUCUUAAUCAAAAAAUUUCAUUGGAUGCCCUUCAUCAAUAAAAGAACAAGUUAAAGCAGACUGUGGCUGAUAUGGUUCGUAGCAAAGCUGCAGAUUUGAACAAAACAUCUGCCUUGGAGGAGAAAGGUUCCAAUUUGGAAUUAAAAGUGAAUCGAUUGAGAUGGUCAUGGGCUACUUUUGUAUUUUUUGCCACCGUCAAGAUGAUGAAUUGAGAAGUUGGUGGCAAAUGUUGAUGAAGCAUUUCAACAUUCUGCAUAUUUCUACUUUUUUUAUGUUAAGUAAUUGUUGUUUUGGUCAUUUGUGUCGAUGUUGGAUGGGCUAUUAAGGGAAGGGAAUGAGCAAAUUAGUGUUUUGAUAGUAGUGGUAGUAGUGUUUGUUUUGGUUAUUAGCGUCGGUUGAUCUAGUGUUAUUAGUUUCUAAUCAAAGGGGGCGGGUUACGGGUGGG